UACGUAGGGUGCAAGCGUUGUCCGGAAUUAUUGGGCGUAAAGAGCUCGUAGGCGGUUUGUCGCGUCUGCUGUGAAAACCCGAGGCUCAACCUCGGGCCUGCAGUGGGUACGGGCAGACUAGAGUGCGGUAGGGGGAGAUUGGAAUUCCUGGUGUAGCGGUGGAAUGCGCAGAUAUCAGGAGGAACACCAAUGGCGAAGGCAGGUCACUGGGCCGCAACUGACGCUGAGGAGCGAAAGCAUGGGGAGCGAACAGG
RNAcentral lists this ribosomal RNA (254 nucleotides) under uncultured bacterium. RNAcentral describes it as "partial 16S ribosomal RNA". It matches the Rfam family "Bacterial small subunit ribosomal RNA", at positions 524 to 776 of the family's 1533-position model. The record is from RNAcentral.